GAUGAACGCUAGCGAUAGGCCUAACACAUGCAAGUCGAGGGGCAGCACAUGACGUAGCAAUACAGAUGGUGGCGACCGGCGCACGGGUGAGUAACACGUAUGCAACCUACCUUCAACAGGAGAAUAACCCGUCGAAAGACGGACUAAUACUCCAUAACACAGGGAUCCCGCAUGGGAAUAUUUGUUAAAGAUUUAUCGGUUGAAGAUGGGCUCGCGGCCUAUCAGCUUGUUGGUGAGGUAAUGGCUCACCAAGGCGUCGACGGGUAGCCGGCCUGAGAGGGUGACCGGCCACACUGGGACUGAGACACGGCCCAG
RNAcentral lists this ribosomal RNA (315 nucleotides) under uncultured bacterium. Its description in RNAcentral is "bacterial SSU rRNA". It matches the Rfam family "Bacterial small subunit ribosomal RNA", at positions 28 to 334 of the family's 1533-position model. The record is from RNAcentral.